CUGUUCCUGAGUGCUGUCUCACUUCACCUAAACACUCAACAGGGUCACUUUUGUGCUUCACGUCAUGCAUGAUGUCUUCCUUUUCUUUGUUCCCCUUCUUUUUACUACCUCUUCCUUUUGACAAAUUUGGGACUUCUGGCCUGCACUUUCCUGAUUCCUUCGGUCUCCCCUCUUUAGACACAUUUUGCUCAUCAGGAGAGGAUACCAAUUUCUCUGACAACCCUGACUCUGGAGACUCAGUGCCAACACUGGAACAAUGAUUUCCCUCUGGAUCACUUUCAGGAUUUGAGGAAGCACACGAGAUUCCCAAGCUUGACACUCCUGAACAACGAAGCAGUUCUCCUGAAAAUAUCACAGUGCUGAACAUGUUGCCCGUCCCAUUUCCAGCUGUAGUUAAAACAGAAGUAUCGGAACAAGACAAACCAUCCCUUUGUUUUUCUCCGUGCAUGAGAUUCCCAAAUACUUCUGCAUUGCUCAUACUUUCUGGACUAGGCAAAUCUUUCACCCCAGAAUUGGAAAUCUUUGGGAGCCUCUCUUUUUUCCUUCCUUUUUUACAGCUCUUCUCAUGCAUCCUCAAAAUUGGAGCAUCCACAGGAACAGCACAUGGCUUAGACAAAGUCAAAUCAUGAAACUCUUCUGGAACAUCGAUUGGAGUAUCAGGAAUUAGGUUGAUGACUUCUGAAUCAGGUGAAGUUCCAGGAUCCGAGAACCUGUUAUUGAUCGAUCUUCCAUCCUGGGAAGGUGACUCAACAUGACAAACUAAAGUCUUAUCAGCUAGAUCUUGAACUGCGCUUUUUUCAGGUUGGCAUCCUUCUGAUAAAGAAACAUAGUCAUUAUCCAAAUUUCCAUUGCAACCAUGGAACUGCACACUUAGCACCUCCUCUCCAAACCUAUCAUCAACUUCGCUGGCAAUUUUGGGCAUUUCUUUCAAUUCUUCUCUAGCAUUACAGUUUUUGUUAGUAUCAUUAUCAAUAAGAGGAAUAACAUCCAUCAGACAAUGUGAACCGAAUUUCACCUUCAAGGAAAUCGGGCCAGUUGGAAUGGAGCUUUUACCCUUUGAUUUCCGUGACUUUCGAUCGAUCUGCUUCUUACCGUGUUUCUUAUUUCCGCUACCACCUUUUUUUGCUAUUCUUAAAUUUUUCUGCUUCCCCGAAGCUAUCUCAAGCCUGACAUUACGUUCUAAAUAUUGCACCGUAUUUUCUAACAAACCCCAGACCGAAGUACGAGCUUGUUUACUGAAAUAGCUUCUCCUCUUUCUUGUAAUCUGCAAAGAACUAAGAUCUAUGGAUGUUUUUUUAAUGGCUAUUCUCCUGCCAUUUCUUGCUGGUACUGUAGCCAAACUCUGGCUUAACUUGCUGUUGCGCCCACUCCUUCUCCGAGGAGCAAUGCAUGCAUUGUCAGGGCAUUCACUUUCAGAAGCAUUAUCAGUUUCUACAGUAUCUUUGCCUUUAUCAUCCUCCUUUUGUGACAACUCAGUUAUGCUAAUUGAGUCAGAAACAUUCUCCAGAACAUCAGUCCCUGAAACAUCAAGUGUGACCGCUCUCUGAGACACAUCAGCAGAUCUUAUCUCAAAGGGUUGAGGUGAUUGCAAAGAGACAGAUAAGUUUUCAGUUGUGCAAUUGGGAUCCAUGGCAUAUGUACUCUGCCCAAAAUCGCAGACAUUGUCUGCUGUUGAUAUCUGGGAAAGCAUAACAACAGUUUUACAGCAAUGUUCAAAGAAAGCAUAGGCCCCAAUGAUAAUUCCUCCUUAUACCAGUACAAGUCAAGAACUAACUGCCAUGCAAAGAUAUGCUUGCAUCAGAAAUUCACUGAAGUGAUCUGUAAGAGCAAAUGAUAGUUAUAUUAAUUAGAAAAGCAUUCAUAAUCUUCAUCAAACAAGUCUUGAAGUAAUCAUACACACAGAAAUGAUGGGAAUUGUAAAUAGAGAGAAAUUCCCACCAAAUUAAGGGGGGGGAUGCUAUAAUAUGGACAAGAAACCCACCACCAUAAACAAUAAAGAUGUCACAAAACAUAGCUAUGAUGUCAAGGAUAUAAUCAAGUUACCAGGUAUGAGAAGGAAGAGUGAGCUAUUCUGUUUUCUUUCUUAAAUGGUAGUAGGUGAUCAUUCCAUUCCACCACUAGGCCUCACCCUUGAGGGCAAGUCAAUCACCUACUACUACAUUGCAUGUUUGCAAUAGAGUUAUGGUUCUAGUCUACUCCAUGAGGUGAGUUUGAUGACAAGCAGUUGGAUGUAGAAAGAGAAGAGUUGUGGAAGAUUGCUCAUCUUUUAGUUUUCGACUGAUUAGGAGAAAGAAAAAAGAGAAUCUUUUAGGAUACAAAAACUCCCUAGUGAAAAGCUAAUUGCUUUCGUUUCUCCACUUAUUCUUUUGGUCCAGAAAGUAUGCUUCCUGUAUCAUGUAAUGAUUAAAUCUCGUGGAGUCUGAUGUAACAGCGUACUUUGGUAAUGUAUCACUAUCUUGGUGGAACAUUAAUGAAAUAUUUUAAAAUUAACAGAGAACCCGGUGCAUACACAUGCUAAAGGAAGCUUCAGCAAUUAAACAGUGCAUAACCCAAUACUUACAGAUCUGCUAAAUAUUAAUUAAAAUAAUGCGCCCAACACUUUCCAACACCCACCCGACCUAAAAAUACUGUUGAAACAUCUUGCACAAGCACAUAUAUACAACUUCAAUUUUAAUAAAAAAUUUGUCCUACACUUAUUUUUUGUGCCUAGCUGGGACUAAGACCUAGCAGAGUCAACUAAGCUAGGUGUUCUCCAAUCUGCAUAACCCGUGGCGGCAGAGUUACUCACCGCCUCUACGGACUAGAGGGUGAUCACCAAGCCCAUUAAAGUUGACAUGAUCACUUACUACAUUGAGCUUGAUAACCGAACGCCGGAAAAACAAAAAAAAUGUUUAGUUUUAGUAAACGGAAGCUUAAUGCCGGCACAGAUAACAACUCGUAUGUACAGGGAAAACUGAAAAGUAACACAUCCCCGUUUUUUCCCCAGAAAAUCCCGAAAGCGAAAGAGUAGAUACAGCAAUAAAAGCAAACCCUAGGCAGCUAACAUCAAAAUCCCUAAAAUCAAAGCGCCAACACCAAUGCAGAUACAUACAUAUACCUAACUGCCACAAAAUCAAAAAAAAAAUACAGAAAAAGGAAGAAUCAACAAUAAAGAUCAUACCUGGUGAAAUUGAAGAAGCUGUUGAGGAACAGUAAGAAGGCCAAUUUCAGCAAAUAAACAUAGAAGUAUCUCUCUAGGUUUUUAGAGAGAGAAUGGAUAUUUAUUGUGGCGUUUUCUAGAGAGAGAAAGAGGAAUCACUUUGGGUCAGCAAACGGUUUUUAAGAGUUGGCGAAAGAGAGAAAUGGCUCCGGCGGAACUCAUUUCAGCUUUUCUUCACCUUUUUCUAUUUUAUUUUGUUUUAUCCGACUAUUAUUAAUAUUGGGCUCUAAAUACUGAGUAAUUAUUUUCCGAAACACGAAGUCAACCUUAUUACUUUUAUAUGUUUUAAAAAUAUAAAAUUCAGAUAAUUAAAAAUUACUACUCCUAUAAAAUGAUACAUUCUAAUAUACUUUUAUAGUCUAAAAUAUUUUAAAAUAUCAAAAGACAAAGACGAAUUAGUAAUACAUUCAUGCACUGAUAACAAUAACUAGUAAAACUUUAACAUAUUACUCCUUUUGAUUUUUUUUAUUUGAAAUUGAAAUACAUUGAACACGAUAAUUUUAAUCAUAAUAUAUACUUGAUAAAAUUGUGUUUUUCUCCUAUAAAGAGUAAUCAAUAAUUUAAUAUCUUUUUGGAAUAGCAAAUGUGAAAUUAAUUUGUAAUAAGUUACUCUUAACUUUGUUUUUUUGUAAAAUUAAAGUAAUAAAUGUAUCGUGAUGAAGAAUUAUUUAAAGUUUUUUUAUUUUCAAUUAUAAAUUUUGAAGUUUAACUCUUAAAAAUAUAAAAAUUACCUAUUGAAAGUGUUAUCAUUAACAAUGUAUGUACAUGCAAAUUCGUAUUUAGAUAUAUUAUAAUGUGAAUAUUGAAUACAGAUGAAAGAAAUAUGUAAAUUCGUAUUUAGAAAUAUUAUAUAGAUAUCGAAUAGAGAUGAAAGAAAAAAUGUAUAAAAGCAACAUAUGGACUUUUUUAGUACUACAAUGAUUUUUCUGUUUGUACUUCUUUUAGCAUAUGGGUGAUUCAAUGACACAUGGCAUAUUUAGGGGAUAGUAAUAUCUUCGCCACUUUUUUGUUUUUUUCCUUUUUUUGUUUUAGUUUUGACCGGUAGCCAGAAAAGGUUUUGAUUUAAAGGUGUGUUUGGUAUAGUGAAAAUAUUUUUCAUAAAAAAAAAAUAUCAAAAAAGUGGAUUUUUUAUUUAUUCUUAAUAUUUUAUUAGAAAGUAAAAAAUAUAUUUUAAAAAUAUUUAUAUGUUAUUUAGCGAAAUGGAAUAAAGAGUGGAGUUGGAGACUAGCAGGGGUGGGAUGAUCAAAGGAUGGGGGAUUGGGUAGGUGAGAAAUGACAAUAAAUUUAAAAUGAAAUUUAUGUAACUUGUUUUCUUUAAUUUCAUUAGAUAAGUCAAUUUUUUAGAAAAAAAAUUAAUAUUUUUUAAUCAAUUCAAACAUAAAGAAACAUUGAAAAAUAUUUUCCUACCUACCAAACACACCCUGCUUAUUUUCUUUUCUGAGUUUAAUAAUGGAAUGUACUCUCAGCUUUGACCCAAAGUCAUUGUUUGAUUUACAAUCUUUAAAAUGGAAUGAUAAUGAAGCGGGACAGAUUAAAUUAACAUUUAACUAUAAAUUAUGUACUAAAUUUUAAAAAAUUGUCUAUGUAUAAAUAUUUAUAUGGUCAUAAAUUUGAUUAAAAAUUAAAUAUUUUAAGUUUUCAAAAACUGAAUUAAAUUACUUUUUGGAUUUUUGAGAUUUAUUACUCAUAAAAAAUUAUUUAAAAAACAAUAAUUAAGUAAGAUACAUAUUGAAAUACAAUUCUAAAUUUCAAAAAUCACAACUUUAAUAAUUUAAAUUUUAACAUUAAAAUCUAUGAGAAAAUGAAAACGAAGUCAUUCCCUGCUAAAGUUUUUCUCUUUUGACUAUCUAUCCUAUUUGAAUUUAAUUUUGUUUUGCUUAGCUUAUCCCUAUUUAAUCCCACUUUGCUUAGACCCUAUUUUGAAUUUAAUUAAUUUUUUCUUCCUACAUUCUUCAUUAUUUGAACAUGUAAAAGUGUAUACAAUUCUAAAAUCAAUUAAAAUCUUAAUUACUUGGAAAAAAAAAUUCCUCGUGAAUUAGGUCAACAGGCAAAAAAAAAAAAGAAUAAAUAUAAUUAAAUCUUCAAAAUACUUAAUUGAAAAAAUAAUUUUUUCCAAAUUCAUCAUAUAAAAUAUAUAAUUAAGAUUAUUUUCAAGUUCACAAACUCUUAGAGUGCAUAAAUCUGUUUCAAUAAAAAGAGCACAAGCAGUGAAAAGAAAAAAACAUAAAAUAAAGUAUAAUUGGUUAUGUGUAGUAGUAUUAUAUUAGAGUGUUAAAAUACAAACUUGAAACAAGGAAGAAAUAUUUAUAAAACAAAAUAUAUUUCAAAAAAAUUGUCAUUAGUUAUUUUUUAUCUUUUUUAUUCAAUAUCUCCCUCAGUAUGUCAUUUUAUAUAUGGAUUUAUUUGUUUUAAAAUACUAACUUAAUAGUAGUCAUUUUAAAAAAAUUAUAUAACUACAGGGCCACUCUUCAUUCUCUAAAUUCUAGAAGACCAAAAGGUUUAAUUUGGGUGAUUGGAUAGUACUUCCGGCAUUUUUAUUUAUACGUCGUUCUUACUAAGAAUAGAUGUUUCUUA
Molecule: long non-coding RNA, 5773 nt
Filed under: Solanum tuberosum (potato)
Lineage: Eukaryota; Viridiplantae; Streptophyta; Magnoliopsida; Solanales; Solanaceae
Description: long non-coding RNA (STUB_LNC006598)
Source: RNAcentral